RNAcentral lists this transfer RNA (71 nucleotides) under Dipodomys ordii (Ord's kangaroo rat). It matches the Rfam family "tRNA". Rfam says of the family: Transfer RNA (tRNA) molecules are approximately 80 nucleotides in length. Their secondary structure includes four short double-helical elements and three loops (D, anti-codon, and T loops). The record is from Rfam by way of RNAcentral. Lineage: Eukaryota; Metazoa; Chordata; Mammalia; Rodentia; Heteromyidae.
GGUGCUGUGGCUCAAGUGGUAUAGCACUUGCCUUGCAUGCAUGAGGCCCUGGGUUUGAUUCCUCAGCACCA